CAUCGGCCUGCCUCCGUCGCUCGGGGAAAAAACAUCGGACUCCCGAGAAAAAAAAGAACGCACCCACGGCCUCUGCGAACGAGACGGUCUUCCUCCUCACGCAACUCCCCCACGCCGCCAGCUCCACAACUGCCUGCUCGAUUGGCCACCGCCUCGCUCCGCAUCCCUGCGCAUAGGUCACCGCCGCACCCUCCAUCGCUCCCUGCGUCGUGGCCCUCAACGUUGCCAUCACGGUUGCGCACGCCGGGGCUGACGUCUCCGCCGUUGUCGCGCUCAUCGUCUCGCUGUGCCUUGCCGAGCUAGGGUUUGGGGUCACCGGCGGUGGCUACCCAGAGAUCGAUGACGCCAUGAUUUUCCCUCUCUACUCUUCCUCUGACCCGAACGGAUCUCCUCCCGUUCUUCCUCUUACUGUCAAGGACCCACUGCAAGCGUCAAGGAAGCCACCCAGGCUGCCUGCCCGGCCCAAGCUCACAAGUUGGCACGUAGGGAUGGAUCAGAGAUCAACAACGGCAAGUACAACUUGCACACCAACUGGUGUCAGCUAUGUCGAGAUAGGCGAGGGAUUCAUCGCUCACCAGACAGCGGCUUGGACAUUGACAAUACCUGCCACUCGGCAGGGCUGUGACACGUCCGGCGGUGUCGAGGCGUCGAGGGUCUUGGUGUGUCCCUGGAGGGUGUUGGAAACAUGUAUGAUAUUGUCCUUGAUGCCUUCAUGCUUCUGGUUCGAAACUGCAGAAGGAGCUUUUAUCUAUUUUUGUUGAUCCAUAAGUGCAUGAUUGUGAAAAUUUAGGAGCACCAUCCCCAAUUUUAUUUGUUAUACGUCAAAUGAAAAGGAAAUUUGGAUCACUGAUAAAUGAAUGUACCUUCAUAUUUUUGACACAGCUAAUAAUGAUUUUAGAGAGCCUUCAAGUUUCAUUGGAAUGGAUGUGUUAGUAGGACUUUUCUCCUCACUAAAUUGGAUGGUUUGGCUGUGCAAAAUAAGGUUGCACAGAGAUCUAUAUGUAAUUGGUUCCUUUGGAGAGGGUAUAUAUUAAUUUCCUUACUGAAAAACUGCAGCUCCUUAACAUGCUGAGAUUAACAUGCUGAGAGUAAUACAGAUGUGCUAACCUUCAUAUUCACUAUUAUGUAUCUAACUUUCUUUUCAUUAGCUUUUAUUUGUUUCAUUAAUUUCUUACUACUAUGUCCUUUUUUUAACUUGUGCAGUUAUUUUUAAUAUUAAUCCCUUCUGAAAAUAAGGACGAUAAUGGCACCCAACAGCCUAUGCAGGCUUGUAACUAAAAAUGGCACACGAUGACCAGCUAUGCGGACAACGCCGAGUGGAUCUCCGCUUCCACAGGUGGGCAGCGCCGGUUGACCUGGCUACUACCUUCUCCUUCUCGGUGUCAAUUCCAUCGCCGUCAUCCGCGUGAGACAGACGGAUCCCAUUGUAAGCUGUUGUGCAUCAUCGACAAGCUAGCGUGUGCUGUCACACCUUCCAUAACGGAGUCGGCCAGAUUUGUUUCUAUAUCAGAUAAUAGUUGUGGUUGCCCGGUUUUUCUUGAAUUUAUUAUGCAUUUAGGUUUAGAACUUCAUAUGCAUGUGAUCCUUUUUGGUCUUACAGGGAUAGGACAGAAUAUCUUGAAGAGAUCAUGUGGUUAAGAAUUCUUGAUUUUAGUGUUGAAGACUAGAGACCUCCAAUAUCUACCGAAAAAGGUUUUGAAAAAACAUCAUUUUCAACACCUACCCAACUGAUUGAGCCUCAUACAUCUUGGAGGCCUGAUAUUGUUCCAUCAUCCAAUGUGCACGACAUUGGUUCUUCACCGAUUGAAAUUGUAAAAGUUUGUCGGAGCACAGAUCUCAGCUUCUGUCAUGAGUCCCAAAAGCGAGAAUUCAGAGCUUUGAGUCAUGGAGUUGAGGCUGACAAUUUGACACCAAAGUUUUCCCUACAAUAACUACUGAUUGUUCUAUAUGUUGUCCUAAUUUAGUUGUUAGAGGUCAUCCCAAUUAUCUUACACCACCAAGUAAUAAAGGAAAGACAGAUCUCACCCUCACCUUACAAUAGCUCAGUUUCUUGGAGAUCUAUUAAGGUUAUAUAUUGACUUUCUUUGCAAUUGGUUUCUAUUCUACCUUGUUUGGAAUUGUGUAACAUUGUUCUCCGUUUGAAAUGUUGUCAAACCUGAGUGUACAUUUGAGUAUAAGUAAUUUAUGUAAUUCUUGCA
Sorghum bicolor (sorghum) is the source of this 2198-nucleotide long non-coding RNA. RefSeq lists it as uncharacterized. The transcript is spliced from 4 exons. The record is from RefSeq and is a predicted model, not a curated record. Lineage: Eukaryota; Viridiplantae; Streptophyta; Magnoliopsida; Poales; Poaceae.